AGGCCUGUGGACGUAGCAUAAAAGUUGGACUGUGACAGCAAUGAGAUAUGCCUCACAGACCUCACAGGAAGUAUAUUAGAAGAAUCUGAUCCUAAAAUGGCUAUUGUAAAUUCUGAAGAAACAACUGCUCACCCGUGUCAGCUAGUUACUUGAAUUGUUACACAAAAUUACAAGAAAACUGAACAUGAACUCAGAUUCAAGUGUCCCCUAGAAAGGCAGCUGGGAAUGUUUUCCAGAAAUAGAAGAUGGCUGUAACAAACAAUAAAAUAUAGGCAGUGAGAGCCACAAUGAUCUCUUUAUCACAUCUGUCAUCACUGCACAUACUGACGGAUUUAUCAGAAUGCUAUGUGAGUCUGAAAGCUAUGUGUCACAA
Molecule: long non-coding RNA, 373 nt
Organism: Hyaena hyaena (striped hyena)
Lineage: Eukaryota; Metazoa; Chordata; Mammalia; Carnivora; Hyaenidae
Exons: 3
Source: RefSeq, a predicted model, not a curated record